RNAcentral lists this ribosomal RNA (400 nucleotides) under uncultured bacterium. RNAcentral describes it as "bacterial SSU rRNA". It matches the Rfam family "Bacterial small subunit ribosomal RNA", at positions 356 to 773 of the family's 1533-position model. The record is from RNAcentral.
GGGGAAUAUUGCACAAUGGAGGAAACUCUGAUGCAGCAACGCCGCGUGAGUGAUGAAGGUCUUCGGAUUGUAAAACUCUGUCUUAUGGGACGAUAAUGACGGUACCAUAGGAGGAAGCCACGGCUAACUACGUGCCAGCAGCCGCGGUAAUACGUAGGUGGCAAGCGUUGUCCGGAUUUACUGGGCGUAAAGGAUGUGUAGGCGGAUAUUUAAGUGAGAUGUGAAAUCCCCGGGCUUAACUUGGGGGCUGCAUUUCAAACUGGAUGUCUAGAGUGCAGGAGAGGAAAGCAGAAUUCCUAGUGUAGCGGUGAAAUGCGUAGAGAUUAGGAAGAAUACCAGUGGCGAAGGCGGCUUUCUGGACUGUAACUGACGCUGAGGCAUGAAAGCGUGGGGAGCAAAC